Molecule: long non-coding RNA, 1467 nt
Filed under: Anas platyrhynchos platyrhynchos (common mallard)
Lineage: Eukaryota; Metazoa; Chordata; Aves; Anseriformes; Anatidae
Description: lncRNA (ENSAPLG00000017338.1)
Source: RNAcentral
GGGAGGGCAGGAGGAGGCAGGAAAGCGCCGCAGCCAUCCCCAGCGCCCUGCGGGCAGCCGCGAUGGCCGGGGCCGCCUCUUUGUGUGGCAGCAGCGCGAAGAUGGCGCGGGGGCCGGCGGCAGCGCCGCCGCCGUGAGGGGCCGGCGCAGGCCCUCCUCCCCCCGGCCUCCUCCCCUCCUCCCCGCCGCCUUCACAACGGCCGCCGAGGGCCGGGGGCGGCCGGGCCGGCCGGGGCUCGGUGCCGUCGCCUCCGCUGCCACCGCCGAUGGGGGAGUGCGGGGUGCCCCCCCAGGUGCAGCUCUUCCUCCGUGCCUGCGAGCAGGGCGACUGCGAGACCGCCCGGCGCCUGCUGGGGCUGCCCGGCGGCAGCGCCGAGCCGGCGGCCGCCUCCGCCUGCGGCAGCGAGGAGCCGCCGCCGCCGUCCCCGUGGAUUGCACCGACGAGGCCGGCAACACCGGGCUGCAGUUCGCCGCGGCGGGCGGCCACGAGCAGCUGGUGCGGUUCCUGCUGCGGAAGGGGGCCUCGGUGCAGAGCAGGAACCACUACGGCUGGAGCCCGCUGAUGCAGGCGGCCAGGUAGGGGCGCACGCUUCACCCCCACCCGAGGGGCCGGGCACCCACCUGCUGCCCUCCCCGGGGGGCAGGAGGGGCUGGCGGGGGCUGGUGUGCACAGGCAUCCACCCCAGGUAUCGAGGUGUUGGAGCUGGGCACCCCUUGGUACUGCCAGGGGUGCCCCAAAGCGCCGAGGGCUCACCCGGACCCCAAAACGCUGCAUGCUCAUCCUCCCUUCUGCAUGGGAAGAUCUGUGCAAAACCCCUGCCUGGUUUCUGUCCUUCUUCUCUUAGCCCGACCUAUUGGAAAAUCACCUCCGGUUUAAAACGGAUUGAACGAAGUAUCAACAAUUCGUUUUGCUCGCCUCUUCCUUGUUUUCCCAAAGGGCUCGCUGGAGGAUGUGCAGAGUCAUUAUUUUGGGUAUUAGUGGCAGAGCUGGGUUGUUUUCAGUAUCGUGCCACUCGCGUGUCACUCACCGCAGAGCUGCGGAUGGUUCCAGUAUUGCUAACGCUGGGGUUUGUGCUUAUCUCGAUGUAUACAAAUACCCAUUGGAUUUACAUGCUUUGCAAGGUUGGGGGGCAGUGCUCUACUUUGAUUAAAUCAGUGCUUAAUUGAGAGGAGAUUUUUUCUUUUUCUUUCAUAACACAUUUAAAUACUUGGAAGAAAAAAAAGUCUGUUUGAAAGUCAACAUUCUCUUUUCAAUUAAAGCCCACAGAAAGUUCCCAAAGAAUGAGUCACACAGCUGGUUUUCCAGUAAGAACAAGGAAGACAAGGUUCAGCAGUUCUGUUAUUUUACAAAGGUUAAAAAAAAAAAAAGCCCUAAAAACAUUCUUAGAUUUUUUUUCCUUAAUGAAAACCUUACCCUCGUUCUCUAAAAAUAAUAAACUAAAUCACCAUAGUCUUCUAAUUGUUUUA